CAGACCUCUGAUCAGAG
RNAcentral lists this ribosomal RNA (17 nucleotides) under Hydrogonium cf. pseudoehrenbergii JK-2013. RNAcentral describes it as "partial 26S ribosomal RNA". The record is from RNAcentral. Lineage: Eukaryota; Viridiplantae; Streptophyta; Bryopsida; Pottiales; Pottiaceae.